GACGAACGCUGGCGGCGUGCUUAACACAUGCAAGUCGAACGGAAAGGCCCUGCUUUUGUGGGGUGCUCGAGUGGCGAACGGGUGAGUAACACGUGAGUAACCUGCCCUUGACUUUGGGAUAACUUCAGGAAACUGGGGCUAAUACCGGAUAGGAGCUCCUGCUGCAUGGUGGGGGUUGGAAAGUUUCGGCGGUUGGGGAUGGACUCGCGGCUUAUCAGCUUGUUGGUGGGGUAGUGGCUUACCAAGGCUUUGACGGGUAGCCGGCCUGAGAGGGUGACCGGCCACAUUGGGACUGAGAUACGGCCCAGACUCCUACGGGAGGCAGCAGUGGGGAAUAUUGCACAAUGGGCGGAAGCCUGAUGCAGCAACGCCGCGUGCGGGAUGACGGCCUUCGGGUUGUAAACCGCUUUCGCCUGUGACGAAGCGUGAGUGACGGUAAUGGGUAAAGAAGCACCGGCUAACUACGUGCCAGCAGCCGCGGUGAUACGUAGGGUGCGAGCGUUGUCCGGAUUUAUUGGGCGUAAAGGGCUCGUAGGUGGUUGAUCGCGUCGGAAGUGUAAUCUUGGGGCUUAACCCUGAGCGUGCUUUCGAUACGGGUUGACUUGAGGAAGGUAGGGGAGAAUGGAAUUCCUGGUGGAGCGGUGGAAUGCGCAGAUAUCAGGAAGAACACCAGUGGCGAAGGCGGUUCUCUGGGCCUUUCCUGACGCUGAGGAGCGAAAGCGUGGGGAGCGAACAGGCUUAGAUACCCUGGUAGUCCACGCUGUAAACGGUGGGUACUAGGUGUGGGGUCCAUUCCACGGGUUCCGUGCCGUAGCUAACGCUUUAAGUACCCCGCCUGGGGAGUACGGCCGCAAGGCUAAAACUCAAAGGAAUUGACGGGGCCCCGCACAAGCGGCGGAGCAUGCGGAUUAAUUCGAUGCAACGCGUAGAACCUUACCUGGGUUUGACAUGGAUCGGGAGUGCUCAGAGAUGGGUGUGCCUCUUUUGGGGUCGGUUCACAGGUGGUGCAUGGCUGUCGUCAGCUCGUGUCGUGAGAUGUUGGGUUAAGUCCCGCAACGAGCGCAACCCUUGUUCACUGUUGCCAGCACGUUAUGGUGGGGACUCAGUGGAGACCGCCGGGGUCAACUCGGAGGAAGGUGGGGAUGACGUCAAGUCAUCAUGCCCCUUAUGUCCAGGGCUUCACGCAUGCUACAAUGGCUGGUACAGAGAGUGGCGAGCCUGUGAGGGUGAGCGAAUCUCGGAAAGCCGGUCUCAGUUCGGAUUGGGGUCUGCAACUCGACCUCAUGAAGUCGGAGUCGCUAGUAAUCGCAGAUCAGCAACGCUGCGGUGAAUACGUUCCCGGGGCAU
Molecule: ribosomal RNA, 1347 nt
Filed under: uncultured bacterium
Lineage: Bacteria
Description: partial 16S ribosomal RNA
Rfam family: Bacterial small subunit ribosomal RNA
Source: RNAcentral